Molecule: ribosomal RNA, 467 nt
Filed under: uncultured bacterium
Lineage: Bacteria
Description: partial 16S ribosomal RNA
Rfam family: Bacterial small subunit ribosomal RNA
Source: RNAcentral
GACGAACGCUGGCGGCGUGCUUAACACAUGCAAGUCGAACGGAAAGGCCUCUUUCGGGGGGUACUCGAGUGGCGAACGGGUGAGUAACACGUGAGUAACCUGCCCUUGACUUUGGGAUAACUUCAGGAAACUGGGGCUAAUACCGGAUAGGAGCUCCUGCUGCCUGGUGGGGGUUGGAAAGUUUCGGCGGUUGGGGAUGGACUCGCGGCUUAUCAGCAUGUUGGUGGGGUAGUGGCUUACCAAGGCUUUGACGGGUAGCCGGCCUGAGAGGGUGACCGGCCACAUUGGGACUGAGAUACGGCCCAGACUCCUACGGGAGGCAGCAGUGGGGAAUAUUGCACAAUGGGUGGAAGCCUGAUGCAGCAACGCCGUGUGCGGGAUGACGGCCUUCGGGUUGUAAACCGCUUUCGCUCAUGACGAAGCUUUGUGUGACGGUAGUGGGUAAAGAAGCACCGGCUAACUACGUG